Molecule: ribosomal RNA, 570 nt
Filed under: Hexymus tuberosus
Lineage: Eukaryota; Metazoa; Arthropoda; Insecta; Coleoptera; Curculionidae
Also listed under: 1 other name
Description: SSU rRNA
Rfam family: Eukaryotic small subunit ribosomal RNA
Source: RNAcentral
GCUUGUCUCAAAAGAUUAAGCCAUGCAUGUCUCAGUACAAGCCAAAUUAAGGUGAAACCGCGAAAGGCUCAUUAAAUCAGUUAUGGUUCCUUAGAUCGUACCCACAAUUACUUGGAUAACUGUGGUAAUUCUAGAGCUAAUACAUGCAAACAGAGCUCCGACCGGAGACGGAAGGAGUGCUUUUAUUAGAUCAAAACCAAUCGGUGGCGGGCUCGUCAUCGUACAACUUGGUGACUCUGAAUAACUUUACGCUGAUCGCACGGUCAUCGCACCGGCGACGCAUCUUUCAAAUGUCUGCCUUAUCAACUGUCGAUGGUAGGUUCUGCGCCUACCAUGGUUGUAACGGGUAACGGGGAAUCAGGGUUCGAUUCCGGAGAGGGAGCCUGAGAAACGGCUACCACAUCCAAGGAAGGCAGCAGGCGCGCAAAUUACCCACUCCCGGCACGGGGAGGUAGUGACGAAAAAUAACGAUACGGGACUCAUCCGAGGCCCCGUAAUCGGAAUGAGUACACUCUAAACCCUUUAACGAGGAUCAAUUGGAGGGCAAGUCUGGUGCCAGCAGCCGCGGUA